RNAcentral lists this unclassified non-coding RNA (162 nucleotides) under rhizosphere metagenome. Its description in RNAcentral is "partial ribosomal RNA internal transcribed spacer region". The record is from RNAcentral.
GUGGGGACUCGUCCCUGUCGAGAUAGCACCCUUUGUCUAUGAGUACCUUUGUUUCCUCGGCGGGCUUGCCCGCCAACGGGGACCACGCAAACCCUUUGCAAUAGCAGUGACUUCUGAUAACAAACAAAUAUUAAAACUUUCAACAACGGAUCUCUUGGUUCU